This 190-nucleotide unclassified non-coding RNA is filed under the name uncultured Ascomycota. RNAcentral describes it as "sequence contains ITS2". Lineage: Eukaryota; Fungi; Ascomycota. The record is from RNAcentral.
AAACCUCUCAGCAAUACUUUAUUGUUGGUUAUGGGCUAAAGAAGGGCUUCAAAACCCCAUCUUGCCUUAAUUUUGCUGCACGACCGCAAGCUAUUGCUAGGUUAUUGGAGUGGUGUUUACAUUAUAUUCCAGCAAUCCUCUCAUGGCUUUGGCGGCGUUAAACUUGAUAGUUGCCUCACCGCAACCGACG